GGGAGCGGCUUCGGCCUCGUGUCCAUCCCCGUGUCCAUCCCCGUGUCCAUCCUCGUGUGCGGCCCCCGCAGAGCGCCUGACCCGGGGGAUCCCCGGGAGGAGUCGCUGGUGCUCGUCCCGCCUCUGCUCGGUAUAGUCUUGACUGGGACCUUGAACUAAGACUGGUGUUUUCACAUCCUGAACUCGACUUGUGUCUGGGCUGUAUGCCCUGGAAAACCAGCCUGGAUACAUUGCCAGCAAUGUCCCUUCAAUUACAGAAGGACCCAUUUCAACCCAUAUAACUGUAACUAGAAUUUUACACUCAAUGUAAACAAAGCAUUUUUAGUUAAAGCUAUUGAAUGCUGAAUGCAUUAAGAAGUGAGAAGAUUUCUGGACAAAAAUAACUGUUAAAUUAUAUAAACCUACAGCAAUACUCUCUUCAGGAAAUUGAUCCUUUUAAUUAU
Long non-coding RNA from Hirundo rustica (Barn swallow), 443 nucleotides. RefSeq lists it as uncharacterized. The record is from RefSeq and is a predicted model, not a curated record. Lineage: Eukaryota; Metazoa; Chordata; Aves; Passeriformes; Hirundinidae. The transcript has 2 exons.